CUUUAGGAUCCUUUAGGAUCCCCCACAAAUUACGUACACAAACAUAU
Biomphalaria glabrata is the source of this 47-nucleotide non-coding RNA. The record is from Rfam. NCBI's taxonomy places the organism in Eukaryota, Metazoa, Mollusca, Gastropoda, Planorbidae.